Molecule: unclassified non-coding RNA, 253 nt
Organism: Ictidomys tridecemlineatus (thirteen-lined ground squirrel)
Lineage: Eukaryota; Metazoa; Chordata; Mammalia; Rodentia; Sciuridae
Gene: 7SK
Rfam family: 7SK RNA
About the family: 7SK was discovered as an abundant small nuclear RNA in the mid-70s but a possible function has only recently been suggested. Two independent studies have found that 7SK RNA binds the CDK9/cyclin T complex (known as elongation factor P-TEFb). P-TEFb activates transcription by phosphorylating the C-terminal domain of RNA polymerase II.
Source: Ensembl
GGAUGUAAGGGUGAUCUUGCAACAACAUCUGUCACCCCACUGAUCACCAGGACUCAUCUGGCUGACCCAGAUGGCUAAGCUGGUGUCCCCUUCCUCCCUCACUUUAGUACAUCCCUCACAAAGCUGCACUCUCACUCCAAGAGUACAACCUUCCUGGGUACAGAAAGGGAUAUGAGUAGCUAACAUUCAGGGUGGCUUAAUAGCCUCCUGUCUCCCAUUUUAUUUUAUUUUAUUUUAUAUAUUAUUUAUUUAU